This 746-nucleotide long non-coding RNA is filed under the name Trifolium pratense (red clover). RNAcentral's name for it is "long non-coding RNA (TPRA_LNC009233)". The record is from RNAcentral. Lineage: Eukaryota; Viridiplantae; Streptophyta; Magnoliopsida; Fabales; Fabaceae.
AUUGGGAUGUUGUUUGGAGGAGGUGAUUGGUGGUUUUUUUGGUUUGUGAUGAUGAUGAUGAUGAUCGGUUGAGAGAAGGGCGCAGAAUAACAGUUGUGUUAUAGGGUUGAUGUUUUUUCCUUGCAAUUCUGCUUCUUUCUCAACUUUGGUUCUAAGUUCUCUCAAUUUUUUCUCUCUGCAGAAUUNNNNNNNNNNNNNNNNNNNNNNNNCAGCCCCCUUUCAUUCUCAUUUUUUGGCUUUGAUCUAUAUCAAGGAAAUAAGGGUUUAAUUGUAUAAUAUGAUGUCUUAAUGCUGUCAUUUAAUAUCUUAAUUUUGCAUCAUUUAAUUUUAGAGACGAGGAAAAUGACCUGAUUGUAUAAUAGGAGGUCUUAAUGGUGUCAUUUUUUGGCUUUAAUUCAUAUGUGACUCAUUUAUAUUAUGACUCAUGUUUUGCUGGUUUUUUCUUAUUCGACUCAUGCUAGCCAAAAAAAAUUGCGUUAAAAUUGUGCCCAGGCUCCAAUAUAAUCCUGGCUCCGCCACUGGAGUGAGAUAUACCCUUGUAUUGUUGUGUUAGUAGUUAGUUAUAUUGGUGUUUUUCAGUUUGUUUAUGUGGAAUCGGAGUGUGAUAUGUAGUUUCAUAUUGUUGAUUGUAUAUUUCGUGCCGAUUUAUUUUUCAUCAGUCUUUACUCUUUAUCGAUUUUUAUUUGUGAAAUCAGAGUGAUAUAUGUAUUCUCGUACUUUUCAAUAUAAUUUUCUCGCAGAUUUAU